This 253-nucleotide ribosomal RNA is filed under the name uncultured organism. RNAcentral describes it as "partial 16S ribosomal RNA". It matches the Rfam family "Bacterial small subunit ribosomal RNA", at positions 524 to 776 of the family's 1533-position model. The record is from RNAcentral.
UACGUAGGUGGCAAGCGUUGUCCGGAAUUACUGGGUGUAAAGGGAGCGUAGGCGGGAAGCCAAGUUGGAUGUGAAAUACCGCAGCUUAACUGCGGGGCUGCAUCCAAAACUGGAUUUCUUGAGUGAAGUAGAGGUAGGCGGAAUUCCUAGUGUAGCGGUGAAAUGCGUAGAUAUUAGGAGGAACACCAGUGGCGAAGGCGGCCUACUGGGCUUUAACUGACGCUGAGGCUCGAAAGCGUGGGGAGCAAACAGG